UACGUAGGGUGCAAGCGUUGUCCGGAAUUAUUGGGCGUAAAGAGCUCGUAGGCGGUCUGUCGCGUCGGCUGUGAAAACCUGGGGCUCAACCCCGGGCCUGCAGCCGAUACGGGCAGACUAGAAUUCGGUAGGGGAGACUGGAAUUCCUGGUGUAGCGGUGAAAUGCGCAGAUAUCAGGAGGAACACCGGUGGUGUAGACGGCUCUCUGGACCGUAACUGACGCUGAGGCACGAAAGCGUGGGUAGCAAACAGG
RNAcentral lists this ribosomal RNA (253 nucleotides) under uncultured bacterium. Its description in RNAcentral is "partial 16S ribosomal RNA". It matches the Rfam family "Bacterial small subunit ribosomal RNA", at positions 524 to 776 of the family's 1533-position model. The record is from RNAcentral.